GUCAUUAUUCAUGUUUGGCUUCCAGUGUUUAUCUCUUUUUUUCUUUUUCUUUUCCUUUUCUUUUUAGAGACUUUUCACUCUGUUGCCCAGGCUGGAGUGCAAUGGUGUGAUCAUAGCUCACUAUAGCCUAGAAGUCCUGGGCUUAAGCUAUCCUCCCACCUUUAGCCUCCUGAUAGCUGGGGCUACAGGUGUGUGCCAGCCAUCAUGCCUGGAUAAUUAAAAAAAAAAAAUUUUGUAGAUAUAGGAUCUCACUAUAUUGCCAAGGCUGGUCUCAAAUUCCUGGGCUCAAGUGAUUUUCCCACUUCAGCCUCCCAACAGUGUUUUUCAUUCAUUUCACUUGUAUAUGCUCUUCCAUCAGUGAUAAUGUUUCUUCUGCCUCAAGAACAAAUGCCUUUAGACUUUUUAAAAGCACAAGUCUGCUGACAACAAAUUCCAUCACCUUUUGUUUGUCUGAAAAUAUUUUUACUUUGCCUUAAUUUUUGAAAUAUAUUUUUGUUUGGCAGUUAUUUUCUUUCAUCACUUUAAAGAUGACAUCACAAUGCCUUCUGGCUUCCAUUGUUUCUGUUAAGAAGUUAGCCAUCAGUCUUACUGUUGCUUCUUUGAGUUGGGCUUAUCUUGCCCAUGAAGUUGCCUCUGAAGAACCAAGUCCAACUGUGUAUGCUGAGAGAUGUCUGGCUACUUCCUGAUUGACAGUUCUGGCAAGGUGGCAUUGGGCCCUGGCUUUUCCUCUGGAGGCAUCAUCACUUAUAGGAAAAUGUCCCCUGAAGUCCAAGGAUCAAAGCUGCUGGAACACUGAGAAGCUGAACAAAGGAGAACUGUUUCUCAUCAAACCCAGACUUCCAGACUUCCAAUAGGGUAGAAUGAGCAAGUCAGCAAAUCAUCUUCCUUGGAAACAGUGAUAAAACUAGAUGACAUUGUCAACAACAGCCAUUUCAGAAAUCUAGAAAAUGACCAAAGGCAAACAACAAACUGAGAAGCAUUUUUUUUUCCAUGAAAAAUCGCUCUAUUUCUGCAAAAAUAGUGGGAGUCUAUGGCUUCUCAUCCAGGGCUGUUUCUCUCCCCACCCCAGCUCAGUCAGUACAAAGGUUCUGGCAGCAUGAGGCAGACUGAACAGACCUGAAGUUUGAUUGCUGGAAGAAACUGACUCCAGGUUUGGCAGAGGGUGAGAAACCUACUCCCAGCCAUGUUGUCUGGUGACACAGUGACCUUAGGGACAAGUGAAUAGGGAAGGCCAGUGAUUCAUUAACCUGAGGUUGCAGUCCUGGUUGGGGAAAGCAUCAGAAUGGCAGAUAAGCUAGAAAUUUAGUAGGGAUAUGCUGGAAAUGAGACAACCCCAAAGGGGCUUGACCCCAAAGUUGUCCACACACCCCAGCUGCCUUCUGAGCAGAUGUAGGGAGAGACCAGAGAAGGCCUAGGCUAUCCACACAUCUCUGGCUAACCCAGGCUGUAAACCUGUGGAGGAGACACAAGAGGUGGAUUGAUUGCUAAUGGGCAUAUGGGGGAUCUUACUGGUUGAUAGGAACAUUCUCAAAUUGGAUUGUGGUGAUGCUUGCACAACUCUAAGUUUAUCCCAAAUUGCUAAAUUUUACACUAAAAAGGGGUGAACUUUAGGGUAUAUAAAUUAUACAUCAAUAAAGUUGUCAUAAAGCAUUCACAUUCUAAUAAAUGGC
Molecule: long non-coding RNA, 1670 nt
Filed under: Homo sapiens (human)
Lineage: Eukaryota; Metazoa; Chordata; Mammalia; Primates; Hominidae
Description: HSALNT0315775
Source: RNAcentral